This 253-nucleotide ribosomal RNA is filed under the name uncultured bacterium. RNAcentral describes it as "partial 16S ribosomal RNA". It matches the Rfam family "Bacterial small subunit ribosomal RNA", at positions 524 to 776 of the family's 1533-position model. The record is from RNAcentral.
UACGGAGGGUGCAAGCGUUAUUCGGAUUUACUGGGUUUAAAGGGCGCGUAGGCGGGCAGUUAAGUCAGUGGUGAAAUCUCCGAGCUUAACUCGGAAACUGCCAUUGAUACUAUCUGUCUUGAAUAUCCUGGAGGUGAGCGGAAUAUGUCAUGUAGCGGUGAAAUGCUUAGAUAUGACAUAGAACACCAAUUGCGAAGGCAGCUCACUACGGGAUUAUUGACACUGAGGCACGAAAGCGUGGGGAUCAAACAGG